CGUAGGAGGCGAGCGUUAUCCGGAUUCACUGGGCGUAAAGCGCGUGCAGGUGGCUUGGUAAGUUAGGCGUGAAAUCUCCCGGCUCAACUGGGAGAGGUCGUCUAAUACUACCGGGCUUGAGAGCAGAAGAGGAAGAUGGAAUUCCCGGUGUAGUGGUGAAAUGCGUAGAUAUCGGGAGGAACACCAGUGGCGAAGGCGAUCUUCUGGUCUGUUUCUGACACUCAGACGCGACAGCUAGGGUAGUAAACGGGAUUAGAGACCCCGGUAAUCCUAGCCGUAAACGAUGUGAACCUGGCGUUGGUGGGUUAAACUCCAUCAGUGCCGCAGCAAACGCGAUAAGUUCACCGCCUGGGGACUACGGGCCGCAAGGUUA
Molecule: ribosomal RNA, 373 nt
Filed under: uncultured organism
Description: bacterial SSU rRNA
Rfam family: Bacterial small subunit ribosomal RNA
Source: RNAcentral